Molecule: unclassified non-coding RNA, 221 nt
Filed under: uncultured fungus
Lineage: Eukaryota; Fungi
Description: sequence contains ITS1
Source: RNAcentral
GUUUUACAUUUGCUUUUAAGCUCAUAAGACAUUCUUUAAAAAUUGUGUGUAUAAAGAAAUUUGGAUUGUAUCGGAGUGCACACCCGAACGGGCUUUUAUUUCCCUUCUCCUCGAGCCGUCAGGCCCCCACCUAGCAAUGAGAACAUUGAAAGGAGGAUUGAGAAGUCAAGACUAGCACAUCCAUCACAUUAAUGAUCCUUCCGCAGGUUCACCUACGGAAA